This 3021-nucleotide ribosomal RNA is filed under the name Thermodesulfobacteriota bacterium. RNAcentral describes it as "23S ribosomal RNA". It matches the Rfam family "Bacterial large subunit ribosomal RNA". Lineage: Bacteria; Pseudomonadati; Thermodesulfobacteriota. The record is from RNAcentral.
GGUCAAGCUACUAAGGGCACACGGAGGAUGCCUUGGCGCCAGGAGGCGAUGAAGGACGUGGCAAGCUGCGAUAAGCUCCGGGGAGCCGCUAAGCAGGCUGUGAUCCGGAGAUCUCCGAAUGGGGCAACCCAUCUGCCGUAAUGGGCAGAUAUCCUGCUGAUGAAUACAUAGUCGGCAGGAGGCGAACGGGGGGAACUGAAACAUCUAAGUACCCCCAGGAAAAGAAAGAAAACUCGAUUCCCUAAGUAGCGGCGAGCGAAAGGGGAAGAGCCUAAACCGGGUAUACGUAAAAGCCUGUGGGCGUUGUAUACCUGGGGUCGUAGGACUUUAUCGGGGAUCGCCACAGAGAUCCCGGGAAGUUACAAAGGUAUUUCCUAGGAGAACAAUCUGGAAAGGUUGGCCAUAGAGGGUGAUAGCCCCGUAUCCGAAAGGAAAUACCCUUCCUGGAUAAAGUCCUGAGUACCACGGGACACGGGGAAUCCUGUGGGAAGCUAGGAGGACCAUCUCCUAAGGCUAAAUACUACCUGGCGACCGAUAGCGCACAAGUACCGUGAGGGAAAGGUGAAAAGAACCCCGGGAGGGGAGUGAAAUAGAGCCUGAAACCGUGUGCCUACAUACAGUGGUAGCCCGUGGAAACACGGGUGACCGCGUACCUUUUGCAUAAUGGGUCAGUGAGUUACUCUGUGCAGCGAGGUUAAGCCGAUUGAGGUGGAGCCGUAGCGAAAGCGAGUCCGAAUAGGGCGCUAAGUUGCACGGAGUAGACCCGAAACCAGGUGAUCUAUCCAUGGCCAGGGUGAAGUUCCGUUAACCCGGGACGGAGGCCCGAACCCACUGAGGUUGAAAACUCAGGGGAUGAGCUGUGGAUAGGAGUGAAAGGCUAAACAAACCUGGAGAUAGCUGGUUCUCCCCGAAAUAUAUUGAGGUAUAGCCUCCCACAGUCGGUUAUGGAGGUAGAGCACUGGAUGGGCUAGGGCUCCUACAAGAGUACCAAACCCAACCAAACUCCGAAUGCCAUAACCUAAAGUGGGGGAGUCAGACCGUGGGCGAUAAGGUCCAUGGUCGAGAGGGGAAGAGCCCAGACCACCAGCUAAGGUCCCAAAAAUGUGCUAAGUGGAGAAGGAUGUGGAUUCGCUAAGACAGCCAGGAGGUUGGCUUAGAAGCAGCCAUCCUUUAAAGAAAGCGUAACAGCUCACUGGUCUAGCGAAUCUGCGCCGAAAAUGUAACGGGGCUUAAGCACAUUACCGAAGCUGUGGAUCCAUCGCAGAAUGUUGUGCGGUGGAUGGUAGGGGAGCAUUCUGCUAACCUGUGAAGGUGUACCCGUGAGGGACACUGGAGGAGGCAGAAGAGAGUAUGCUGACAUGAGUAGCGAUAAACAGGGUGGAAAACCCUGUCGCCGUAAGCCCAAGGUUUCCUGAGCAAGGGUAAUCCUCUCAGGGUUAGUCGGCCCCUAAGGCGAGGCCGAAAGGCGUAGCUGAUGGGAAACAGGUUAAUAUUCCUGUACCACCAGGUAAACGUUAUACCGAAGGGGGGACGGAGAAGGGUAUGCCAUCCAGGUGACGGAAUACCUGGUCUAAGCCGGUAGAGGGACCUCAUAGGCAAAUCCGUGAGGUCGCAAACCUCGAGAGGUGAUGGGGACCCCGGUUUUCGGGGGAACUGGCAGAUCCCACGCUUCCAAGAAAAGCCUCGUAGGGAGUUUACCUGGUGACCGUACCGCAAACCGACACAGGUGGGCGAGGAGAGAAUCCUAAGGCGCUUGAGAUAACCCUGGUUAAGGAACUCAGCAAACUGGCACCGUAACUUCGGGAUAAGGUGUGCUCCGGGAGGUGAUGGGACUGGCUCCCUGAGCUUUCCGGAGUCGCAGCGAAGCGGGGGUGGCGACUGUUUACUAAAAACACAGGACUCUGCAAACUCGUAAGAGGAUGUAUAGGGUCUGACGCCUGCCCGGUGCUGGAAGGUUAAGGGGAGACGUUAUCCUGAGUUACCCUCAGGAGAAGCGUUGAACCGAAGCCCCAGUAAACGGCGGCCGUAACUAUAACGGUCCUAAGGUAGCGAAGUUCCUUGUCGGGUAAGUUCCGACCUGCAUGAAUGGCGUAACGACUGCCCCGCUGUCUCAACCAGGGACUCAGCGAAAUUGGAAUGGGGGUGAAGAUACCCUCGACCCGCGGCAAGACGGAAAGACCCCGUGAACCUUUACUACAGCUUGACAGUGAACUCCGGGAUAGUAUGUGUAGGAUAGGUGGGAGGCUGGGAAGUGCUGGCGCCAGCUGGCAUGGAGCCGUCCUUGAAAUACCACCCUUACUGUCUUGGGGUUCUAACUCGGACCCGUUAUCCGGGUCGAGGACACUGUCUGGCGGGUAGUUUGACUGGGGCGGUCGCCUCCAAAAAGGUAACGGAGGCGCGCAAAGGUCGGCUCAGGCUGAUUGGAAACCAGCCGUAGAGUGCAAAGGCAUAAGCCGGCCUGACUGUGAGACCUACAAGUCGAGCAGACGCGAAAGCGGGCCUUAGUGAUCCGGUGGUCCCGAAUGGAAGGGCCAUCGCUCAACGGAUAAAAGGUACUCCGGGGAUAACAGGCUGAUCUCCCCCAAGAGUUCACAUCGACGGGGAGGUUUGGCACCUCGAUGUCGGCUCAUCCCAUCCUGGGGCUGAAGUAGGUCCCAAGGGUUUGGCUGUUCGCCAAUUAAAGGGGUACGUGAGCUGGGUUUAGAACGUCGUGAGACAGUUCGGUCCCUAUCUGCCGUGGGCGCAGGAUAACUGAGAGGAGCUGUCCCUAGUACGAGAGGACCGGGAUGGACGGACCUCUGGUGUACCAGUUGUCACGCCAGUGGCACAGCUGGGUAGCUAAGUCCGGAAGGGAUAACCACUGAAAGCAUCUAAGUGGGAAGCCCACCUCAAGAUUAGUUAUCCCGUCCGGUAGCGAUACCGGACUAAGACCCCAGAGAGACUAUCUGGUCGAUAGGCCGGUGGUGUAAGCGCUGUGAGGCGUUGAGCCUACCGGUACUAAUAGGUCGAGCGCUUGGCCAU